RNAcentral lists this ribosomal RNA (253 nucleotides) under uncultured bacterium. RNAcentral's name for it is "partial 16S ribosomal RNA". It matches the Rfam family "Bacterial small subunit ribosomal RNA", at positions 524 to 776 of the family's 1533-position model. The record is from RNAcentral.
UACGGAGGGUGCAAGCGUUAUCCGGAUUCACUGGGUUUAAAGGGUGCGUAGGCGGGCAGAUAAGUCAGUGGUGAAAUACCUGAGCUUAACUUGGGAACUGCCAUUGAUACUAUUUGUCUUGAAUGUUGUGGAGGUUAGCGGAAUAUGUCAUGUAGCGGUGAAAUGCUUAGAGAUGACAUAGAACACCUAUUGCGAAGGCAGCUAACUACGCAGAGAUUGACGCUCAUGCACGAAAGCGUGGGGAUCAAACAGG